RNAcentral lists this ribosomal RNA (429 nucleotides) under uncultured Steroidobacter sp. RNAcentral's name for it is "bacterial SSU rRNA". It matches the Rfam family "Bacterial small subunit ribosomal RNA", at positions 355 to 776 of the family's 1533-position model. The record is from RNAcentral. Lineage: Bacteria; Pseudomonadati; Pseudomonadota; Gammaproteobacteria; Steroidobacterales; Steroidobacteraceae.
UGGGGAAUAUUGGACAAUGGGGGCAACCCUGAUCCAGCGACGCCGCGUGGGUGAAGAAGGCCUGCGGGUUGUAAAGCCCUUUCGGUGGGGAUGAAAAGCUUCGUUCUAACACAGCGAAGUCUUGACCUAACCCACAAAAGAAGCACCGGCUAACUCUGUGCCAGCAGCCGCGGUAAUACAGAGGGUGCGAGCGUUAAUCGGAAUUACUGGGCGUAAAGCGCGCGUAGGCGGCUUUGCAAGUCGGAUGUGAAAUCCCCGGGCUCAACCUGGGAACUGCAUUCGAGACUGCAUUGCUAGAGUAUGGGAGAGGGAGGUGGAAUUUCCGGUGUAGCGGUGAAAUGCGUAGAUAUCGGAAGGAACAUCAGUGGCGAAAGCGACCUCCUGGACCAAUACUGACGCUCAUGUGCGAAAGCGUGGGGAGCAAACAGG